UGCCAGCCGCCGCGGUAAUACGGAGGGAGCUAGCGUUGUUCGGAAUUACUGGGCGUAAAGCGUGCGUAGGCGGAUCGGUCAGUUGGGGGUGAAAUCCCGAGGCUUAACCUCGGAACUGCCCUCAAUACUGCCAAUCUAGAGUCCGGAAGAGGUGAGUGGAAUUCCUAGUGCAGAGGUGAAAUUCGUAGAUAUUCGGAGGAACACCAGUGGCGAAGGCGGCUCACUGGCUCGAUACUGACGCUGAGGUGCGAAAGCGUGGGGAGCAAACAGGAUUAGAUA
Molecule: ribosomal RNA, 279 nt
Filed under: uncultured bacterium
Lineage: Bacteria
Description: partial 16S ribosomal RNA
Rfam family: Bacterial small subunit ribosomal RNA
Source: RNAcentral